UUGAACGCUGGCGGCAUGCCUUACACAUGCAAGUCGAACGGUAGCGGGUCCUUCGGGAUGCCGACGAGUGGCGAACGGGUGAGUAAUAUAUCGGAACGUGCCCAGUAGUGGGGGAUAACUGCUCGAAAGAGCAGCUAAUACCGCAUACGACCUGAGGGUGAAAGGGGGGGAUCGCAAGACCUCUCGCUAUUGGAGCGGCCGAUAUCAGAUCAGCUAGUUGGUGGGGUAAAGGCCUACCAAGGCAACGAUCUGUAGUUGGUCUGAGAGGACGACCAGCCACACUGGGACUGAGACACGGCCCAGACUCCUACGGGAGGCAGCAGUGGGGAAUUUUGGACAAUGGGCGCAAGCCUGAUCCAGCAAUGCCGCGUGCAGGAAGAAGGCCUUCGGGUUGUAAACUGCUUUUGUCAGGGAAGAAAUCUUCUGGGCUAAUACCCCGGGAGGAUGACGGUACCUGAAGAAUAAGCACCGGCUAACUACGUGCCAGCAGCCGCGGUAAUACGUAGGGUGCGAGCGUUAAUCGGAAUUACUGGGCGUAAAGCGUGCGCAGGCGGCUUUGCAAGACAGAUGUGAAAUCCCCGGGCUCAACCUG
This 592-nucleotide ribosomal RNA is filed under the name uncultured bacterium. Its description in RNAcentral is "bacterial SSU rRNA". It matches the Rfam family "Bacterial small subunit ribosomal RNA", at positions 29 to 616 of the family's 1533-position model. The record is from RNAcentral.